AGAGUUUGAUCCUGGCUCAGGAUGAACGCUAGCUACAGGCUUAACACAUGCAAGUCGAGGGGCAGCAGAUCGAAAGCUUGCUUUUGAUGCUGGCGACCGGCGCACGGGUGAGUAACGCGUAUCCAACCUUCCCUAUAGUAGAGAAUAGCCCGGCGAAAGUCGGAUUAAUGCUCUAUGUUGUAUUUAGAAGACAUCUGAAGAAUACCAAAGGUUUACCGCUAUAGGAUGGGGAUGCGUCUGAUUAGGUAGUAGGCGGGGUAACGGCCCACCUAGCCGACGAUCAGUAGGGGUUCUGAGAGGAAGGUCCCCCACAUUGGAACUGAGACACGGUCCAAACUCCUACGGGAGGCAGCAGUGAGGAAUAUUGGUCAAUGGACGGAAGUCUGAACCAGCCAAGUAGCGUGCAGGAUGACGGCCCUAUGGGUUGUAAACUGCUUUUAUAUAGGGAUAAAGUCGGGGACGUGUCCCCGUUUGUAGGUACUAUAUGAAUAAGGACCGGCUAAUUCCGUGCCAGCAGCCGCGGUAAUACGGAAGGUCCAGGCGUUAUCCGGAUUUAUUGGGUUUAAAGGGAGCGCAGGCUGAUGAUUAAGCGUGACGUGAAAUGUAGCCGCUCAACGGCUGAACUGCGUCGCGAACUGGUUAUCUUGAGUGAGUUCGAUGUUGGCGGAAUUCGUGGUGUAGCGGUGAAAUGCUUAGAUAUCACGAAGAACUCCGAUUGCGAAGGCAGCCAACAAGGCCUUUACUGACGCUAAAGCUCGAAGGUGCGGGUAUCGAACAGAUUAGAAUACCCCUGGU
RNAcentral lists this ribosomal RNA (795 nucleotides) under uncultured bacterium. Its description in RNAcentral is "bacterial SSU rRNA". It matches the Rfam family "Bacterial small subunit ribosomal RNA", at positions 8 to 791 of the family's 1533-position model. The record is from RNAcentral.